This 6086-nucleotide long non-coding RNA is filed under the name Sus scrofa (pig). Its description in RNAcentral is "lncRNA (ENSSSCG00000061234.1)". The record is from RNAcentral. Lineage: Eukaryota; Metazoa; Chordata; Mammalia; Artiodactyla; Suidae.
AUUCUGGAUUCUAGAGGACCAGGGCCAAAGCAGGCAUCUGCGAGGUGGUGUAGGGAGCCCUCACCUGCCCUCUGUCUGGCUGGCAUCUACUGGAAUGCCCAUUGUUCUGUUAAGCCUUCAGUCACUGGACGUGUAGGGGGCCCCCGCCUUACCCUGCGUUUGUCUUGGCAAGGCCUCUUUAGGUGUUGCACCUGCACCCUCUUUUCCUACCUGGGACCCCAGGGCCCUUCCUCUGCCCUGUGCCCUGCUGGGUGACUCUGCACAGCUGCCUGGGAUUGAGUGAAUCACGUAGCUUGGCCCCCUCGCUGAGGUUCGGGUACCUCCACGCGGGGCAGUCAGCCCUGUGCUUGGAGCUUCCAAACCGAUCCGGAAAUUUUCAUGUUUCCUUCUUCCUUGGAGGUCUUCCUGUUGGAUGGGUUGGUGUCAGGAAGCCUCGUGUCACCAUGUGUCCCCGGCUCCCCAGGGUUAUUUACCAGAAUCUGCGCCCUUCCCAACAGGGUAUAGACUUUGAAGCCCCCCUCCCCCCCAGUUUUUUUCUCUAUUUUGAUAUCCCUUCUCUGAAGCAAGAAACACAGAGUAGCCUGUCACAGUGAUUAGAGCAAGAGCCACAGAUACAAGGAAACCUGGAGGAAAAUCCACCCGUCCUAUUAUCAAUGCUUAGCCUGCUGGUGACUUGGGAACUGUUUGGGGACAGGGAACUGUAUUUAAUGCAUCCUCAUCCCGCCCUACAGUAACUGACAUAGUGCUUAUGCUGAAAAGGCACUAAAUACAUAGUUGUUGGGCAAGAAAAUAAAUAAUAGGUUCCUUUUUCUGAGUCUGUAUUUGCAGUGUCACAUGCAUGGUUUCUCAUCUCAUUGAUACUAAGAGAUAGUCAUCUGUCUCUAUAUGCUAGGAAGGAAAAAAAAACCUCAAGAAGUCAGCUGCAUAAAAUCAACUGCAUACGUGAGACUAAUGAUUUGACGGUCAGACAGUGCUGUAUUCAUUCAGCCUCUUGGAUGAGGACUUGCCGUGGGCCAGGCACCGGGGUGGGGCGUUGGGAGGUAUUUGCGGAUGAGAGCUUCAAGGGCUCUGGUGGGGUUGCGAGGAAGCAGAUGACGAAGACUUGCUCAGAGAAACAGGAUGACCUUAGAAGUAGACAAGUGCUGUGGAGACGACCGCAGCCGUAAGUGUAUAGUUACGCAGAAGAGAGGCUCCCAGGGGAGUCCGGGGGGAUGCUUGUGCUGAGAUCUGAAAAGAGGGGUUGGAGUAACCGGGCCAAGAAGGCGUGCAAGAUGAGGCGGUGGGGCAGGGCGUUUGAGGCAGAGGGAGGAACGUGUGCAAUGGCCCUGUGGCAGAGAGAUGCACCCUACGUGUACUUGUGUGCAGAGAGUGAGGGGUUGCGAACGUGAGCAGAUGUUUGUCAGCUGCCCGUUACGUGCCAGGCACACGCAGGGGGCGCAGUGGUGAACAUGAUGGAUGUGAUCCCUGCCCUCGUGGAGUUCACGGCUGUCAUCCGAGGGCAGGCUCUUCGUGCCUUCACGGCAAGCUAAUGUCUUGCUAAAUGUAAUCUCUUCCUUUGGGGAAAAAAAAAAAAGGCCCAAAAGGCAGCAUUUCUUGGUGUGUGUUGUCUUCCGAUGAUGUGUUCCUGCUGAGCUUGAUACGUUCCAGUUGGGUAAGUCAGGAGGUUGAGACUGAAGGGGCCAGUGCACGCGUGUACGGUGUUGAUGGUAGUUAGUCUGUUGAUUGGUUUCACUCCCACCCGCUGACAGGUCUUAAUGAAAACAUGGCAUUUGCAGAGGCUGUCGGGAGGUAGGAUAGAUCUGAGCCAUGUCUGAGUUCACAGAACACCAGCUGCCAUGAACAGAUAAACACUUAACAUUUCAGUGGCUUGUUAAUUAUUAUACGUAUUUCUCACCGGAUGUCCCUGGUGAGCAGAUGGAGCUCCUUUAAGCGGUGCUCCAGGAUCCCAGGUCCCUUCCACCUUGUGGCUCUGUCUUCGUCAACGUGGAGCAUCCAAGGUCACACAGAAGGAAAGAACAUGGCAAAUGAUGCCUGGGAGGUUUUCACGCGCCAGGCCUGAAAUGGAGAACGUCACUUCCGCCCGUUCCCCUGGUCGGAGCUCAGUCACAGGGUCACACUGACUGCCAGCGAGCUUGGGGAGUGUCGUCUAGGUGUGAGCCCCAGAAGAAAGGGAAACUCUUGAAUGACAAAUCAGUCUCUACCACCACCUGUGAUGUAAUUUUUCCUGGUACCUUUCGUACUUGGAUUCACAUUAUUCUGUGGCCUUAGUCUACUUUUUCUUCAAAAAAUGCUGAAGUUGGAAGUACUUGAACCUUUUCUGUGUUGAUACAUAUUUUAAAUGGUGACACCCUUAUCAAUGGUUUACUACCUUUACUUCCUCUUGUCUUCUUUCUUCCUUCCUUUCUCUGUCCCUUCUGGCUUCCUUCCUUCUUCCUUGGCUCCCUUCCUCCCUGUGGUGAGAGUUGGGAACUUCCAUUAAUUGUGAUUUUGAAUUUACAGGUUUGAAUCUAGGUGGAUGGCCUGUCAUGUAUGUGUCCCUCUAAAAAUGCCAAAGGAUGUUUCAUCAAAAUUUAGAAACCACUUACCUGCCCUUGAGGGGAAUUAGAGGAGUACAGGUAGCUUUGGAGAGCAUCAGAUCAUUUAGUUUUAGGGCCACUUUAUCCUGAACACAGGAAGGAGAGGAUGGAGUUGGGGCUCUACCUGACUCACACCCCAAUAUCGGUCUCCAUCCUUAAUGACCACUGGGGACGGGGAGAGAUGGGGCGACUGGUUUUGAGAGCUGUUCUUUUGCUGCCUGUUCAUACAGUGCUGUGAAACGGGAAAGGCGUCAGGGACUCUGAGCGUGGAUCCCCCUCACUGCCCCGUGGCCCACAGGGAACCAGCCACAGGCUGGGGCUGGCUUCAGAUGGCUGGACAGGUGGCCUUGUAAUGAAAACCUUUCCAUUCUAACUGUGGGCCUUGUUUUGCCAGGGAUCCGAGGUGAAGAAAAUGUUCUAGUUUUAUGCCUCUACCAGCUGCUUUGAAAGCUUCCUCGCAGCUGUCCCCAAACACAGCAGACAGCCGCCUCUCUACUUUCAAAAUCUUGGGGGCUUAGUGUUAUUUGAGAGGGGAUAAGCGGGCACAGAGAUGAGGGAAGAUUUCUUCCUGAUCUCAAAAGGUCGGAGCCUUUUUGAAGAUUGAAAGAGCACAAAAGAAAGUCCAGAGUGCGUGCGUUUCCUCUGUAGUCCAUCUCUGCGAGGUCAGGGCUGUUAUUAGAGCUCAUGCUGUGGGUGAGGGCGCUGAGGUGUACAGGAUUUAAGUAGCUCGAUGGUGGCCAUGAGGUUAAGCAUCAGAGUCAGGAUUCAAACCCAAGGUGUUGUGACUCCAGGCUCAGACUCCGGUAACCUCUGCUCUUCAGAAUGUCCAGAAUUCAGGUCCAGGAUGUAAUUUCUCUCCAUCUACCUCUACCUUCCCUCUUCCUCCAGCCGGGUUCACGGGCCCUCCCCCCUUGCAGGUGCUCACGCCCCAAACCUGGGAGUCAUCCUCAGUUUGUCCUAAUCCCAUCCCCCCCAGUAGAAUUUACGAGGAAAGGCAACGGGUUGUGUUAAGAGUCUGUAUCCAGAAGCUGAGCACAUGUCACCAUUUCCAGCGCUACCAAUACUUUAGUCAAAGCCGUGUGUCUUCCGUUCUCUGCUGUGUGGUAGCCUUGACCCUGACCUCUCUGUUCUAGUCCUGCUCUCCUCUUCUCUUGCCGUCACACUGGCCAGAGGGACCCAGCCCUGGAGGCAGCUCCUCUCUGCAAGAUCAUCCUGCACCGAGCUUCCUUCCCUUUCGUUGGCCUGGCCUAGGUAGCUGCGUUCAUCUGUGAGGUCUGAGCUGGCUCAGCUCCUGGUCUGGAUUCCAGCCCCCAGAAAGGGGGUCAGAGAGGAAACCCUGGCAGGCAGCUUUGCUUUAACCAAAUGACACAGAAUUUGUACCCAUCAUUUCCACUCGCGUUUCACUGGUAAGUAGAGAGUCACGUGGCCAGCCUUUCUCCAGGGGAGUCUAGGAACUGUGCUCUCGGAACAGAUGGCCAGGUUUCCAGGUCCCCGAGAAGAGAGUGGAUUUGGAGCAUAACCAACAGUGGGCCCGAGUCCAAGAGGGGAAGUGGGUGGAGCAGUGAGCAGGCUGUUCGGGACCCUUAGGUGAGUGUUGACGAUAGUGUGGCCUGGGGAACAGGCAGUGGAGACGGAGGGAGAUGUGCCGUGUGUUUUGGAGGUAGAAUUGGGGGCGGGGGGGGGAUAGGGUUGUGGAGAAAGUAGGACUCGAGGCUGAUUCCUGGGGAGUUGUGUCUGGAGAGGCACAGGGAGGCCAGUUUCUGAGCCGAGGAUGCGAUCCAGAGUGGCCAUCUGGGGACCAGUGGGUGAGGCCACCCCUUGGAAGGCCCAUGUCCUGGUGGAAGCCACCCUGGUAGGCUGGCCCGGCUCAGAGGAGGCAUCUGAGGGGCAGUCUGCCGGGCGAGUCAAAUGCAUUUUACCUUGCGGUGCCUGAGAGGAAUGAGUCGCGCAGCCUGUGUUUUGUGCCUUGAUGGGCCGAGGUGCCGGCAAGGUUGAGGCUGAUGCGAAGAAGCCAGGAGCCAUUGAGCCCAAGCCGCCUGUGGUCGCAGGCCGGGUAGGUCUGCGUGGCUGCCUUCAGGCUGGGGGAAGGGAGGAGCUGGGUGGAGGUCUGUAUCUGUCGGCACCUGGCCAGCAUAGGUCAUGCUCCCAGCAUCUGGAUGCCCCUUGACCUUGAGGCCUCUCAAGUGUUUUUCUGUCUCCUAUUUGCCGGAGUUGCAGCUGGUCCUAAGGAAAUGGGUUUGCCAUUAGAGCAGUCGAGAAACGGCGGGUCUGUAAGGGGGACUCUGUCACCCAUCCGGGUGGUUAGGAGGCCUGCCCUGGCCAUUCUGAGGGACGCUGGGCAGCGGGGGAGGGGGUGCCAGGCUCGGAGGACAGACCUACCGUAAAGCUGAUGGAUUCUGAAAGAAGCAACCCAGCCAGGUUGCUUCUAACCUGUUGGAGGUGAGCCCAGCUGGUUCUGCCCCCUCUGAGAGUCUGCCGGGGCCGGUGGUAGCUGUGAUAAAUGUCAGCUGUUGCCAAACAUCGUUGUUGAUUCAUUUCUCAGUCCCUCCCUAUUGGGCCGUGAACAUUCCCCCCCCUUUCUAUUUCACGACUCAGCGAGUGGAAGUUGAGCACCUGGUACAGAGUGCCACCACGGUCAGGGUGUGCCACCUUGCUGGUGACUAACGACACUGGUGUUCAGCUCACAUAGUAGCUCUUGUGGGGUCUCCAGGGCUGAGUGUCUGCCCGAUGUGGUGAAGGCAGAGCUGGACCCACUGCUGCCUGGCGGCUCUGAGCCCAGGGGGCUCCCUCAGACCCACCGCCUGGGUCACCCAUCUUAAAUGCCCCCAGGACCGGCCAGGCUUGGUGGCUUGGUGUUCACCUCCCAGCAGCAGAGCCUGCCUCAAGGGCUAACUUGGCCACACGAGGAGGAGGAAGCAGCGUUGAUCUUCUGGGAGUCGCAUCCUCAGGGCAGGAACUGAGCCGCUUUUGGGGAACAUGAAAUCAAAGGAGAGGGGAAGUGAGACUGGGUGCGAUGUUGGGUCUAACCUGUUCCGGAUGAAAACCUUUUGAGAUUUAUCUUUGUCACUGACCUUUGAAUAGAGCAAAAUUCUCCAGCCCACGAGUGGCAGGGCCUCCUGGGUAAAUGCUGACCAGGACUUCUUAUCCUGGUCGCAUUUCCGUGGAGUCACCAAAAACUUGUCUCAUCACAGCUCUGCCUCCUCCCCGAGUCACAGGUCAGUUGCUGAGGUCCGACCUUCUUUGCCGUUGGCUGAAUUGAAAGCAGUGUCUUCUGGAGUUUUCCUUGUGGCUCAGGGGGUUGAGAACCCGACUAGUAUCCAUGAGGGCGAGGGUUCGGUCCCUGGCCUUGCUCGGUGGGUUAAGGAUCCAGUGUUGCCCUGAGCUGUGGUGUAGGUUGCAGACGCAACUUGGAUCUGGUGUUGUGUGGCUUGGUGUGGGGCGGUGACAUAGGCUAGCAGCUGCGGCUCUGAUUCGAUCCCUAGCCUGGGAACUUCCACAUGCUGUAGGCGA